UACGAAGGGGGCUAGCGUUGCUCGGAAUCACUGGGCGUAAAGGGCGCGUAGGCGGCCGUUCAAGUCGGGGGUGAAAGCCUGUGGCUCAACCACAGAAUGGCCCUCGAUACUGGAUGGCUCGAGACCGGAAGAGGUUGGUGGAACUGCGAGUGUAGAGGUGAAAUUCGUAGAUAUUGGGAGGAACACCAGUGGCGAAGGCGGCUCACUGGACCGGAACUGACGCUGAGGCGCGAAAGCGUGGGGAGCAAACAGG
Molecule: ribosomal RNA, 253 nt
Filed under: uncultured bacterium
Lineage: Bacteria
Description: partial 16S ribosomal RNA
Rfam family: Bacterial small subunit ribosomal RNA
Source: RNAcentral